GGGCUUAGAAAAAUUAAAAGUGCACUCCUGCCAGGACAGUGUGGCCCCCAGCACCUGCUCUGGUGCUAAAGCUCUUUACCCCACAUUCAGUGACCCCCAACAGGCUGUUUUCUGGAUUCUCAUUUUUUUUUUUUUUUUUUUUACCAUUUUCCUAAGUUCUAAUGGAUUCUCUAAGGAGGAAAGCACAUGAGCUGUGAAGUAUGAACGUGGUGACAGAUUCUGGCGCUCAGCUGGAUUUUCAGGGGCAGACAGAACACCUCGGAGGACAUGAUGAUAGUGCUGGAAGGGACACAAAACAGCCUCUCAUCUAACCUCCUCCUCCUACAUUGGCACCUGGCACAUAUAAGGUACAUGGGGCCCAUAGGUCAGUGCUUAUUCUCGUCCCCCUCCCCACGAUGGCUUUCACGGAUGAUGGAUCCGAGGCGGGCAGAGGAUAAACUCUUGGCCACGAUCACACAGCUUGUGGACGUCUGAGGCCCGGUUUAAACUCGGCUCUUCCUGUCGCCAGGCCCAGUGUGUUGUUCACUGCAUUCCUGUUACUCCUGGCACAGAAUCAACGAGAGAGAAACAGUGGGACCACAUCACGAACACCAGACCCCAAAAAGAUGUGGGGCUGCCUUUAGAGGCCCCUCGCCACCCCAGCCACCUUCUUCCAAUGGCUGAUGUACAUGAACCUGUCCUUGGUGAGGAGAACAAAAGCAGAUCCGGCCCUGCAGGGCAAACAUGUCAGUGUUUUUAUUUAUCGAGCAUUUAUUCCCAGCUCAAUUUAAAGGCAGGUGAGCUAAAUGGCUUCAGAAAUCGCAGGUUGUCCCCCAGGACAGAUGCGAACCCCUCAGAGCUAAGGUCUCCCUUCUCAUUCUGCUGCGAGCCCGGGAUGAAGGGGCUGCCGGGAGAGGCAGGAUGGUGCGACGUGGAGAUGGCAGUGCUGGGGCCUUGCCAGGCUGUCCUGGACACAGCGUCUUCGAGGUGGGGCAGCUGCACUGGGCACCUGAAGUGACUUUGUCUUAGGGGAACAGAGUUAGUUCCAAUGGGAAAUCCACGAUCCUUCUACUACACUCUAAGCUCCUUCGUAUGCUCAAAGCACCACAGGGUCUGGUACAGAGAUGACAAAUGCUUGUUGAGCGGCUACAACUUUGUUUUCAAGGAAUUAACAUCUAAUCAAACUCAAUCAGAACCAUAAAGUAUAAACUUAUUCUCACACUAC
Sarcophilus harrisii (Tasmanian devil) is the source of this 1204-nucleotide long non-coding RNA. RefSeq lists it as uncharacterized. The record is from RefSeq and is a predicted model, not a curated record. The transcript has 2 exons. NCBI's taxonomy places the organism in Eukaryota, Metazoa, Chordata, Mammalia, Dasyuromorphia, Dasyuridae.